UGUGGGAUUCGCCGGCGAGCUGUAGGGAUCCGCUGACGAAGACGAGGACGCCGCCGGCAGGGCCAGAGGGCUGGCAGUCGACGGUGGAGAUGGCGUGGGCGCACUGCUGGAAGGGGAGGGAAGUGAGCUUGGCGACGAUCGCGGCGGCGCCCUGGAUCUUGUCGCCUUCGAAGGUGAGCAUGGAGGCGUCCUGGUACAGGCCCCCCAGCGCCGCCCGGUUCCCAUCGAACGUCCGGUAGUAGUGCUCCACGAAAGCCUUCGCUACCGCGUCCGGAUCCAUCGCCGCCGCGGCC
This 293-nucleotide long non-coding RNA is filed under the name Musa acuminata (dwarf banana). Its description in RNAcentral is "long non-coding RNA (MACU_LNC010072)". The record is from RNAcentral. Lineage: Eukaryota; Viridiplantae; Streptophyta; Magnoliopsida; Zingiberales; Musaceae.